UUUCCGUAGGUGAACCUGCGGAAGGAUCAUUACCUAGAGUUGUGGGCUUUGCCUGCUAUCUCUUACCCAUGUCUUUUGAGUACCUUUGUUUCCUCGGCGGGUUCGCCCGCCGACUGGACAAUUUAAACCAUUUGCAGUUGCAAUCAGCGUCUGAAAAACAUAAUAGUUACAACUUUCAACAACGGAUCUCUUGGUUCUGGCAUCGAUGAAGAACGCAGC
Molecule: unclassified non-coding RNA, 219 nt
Filed under: uncultured fungus
Lineage: Eukaryota; Fungi
Description: sequence contains ITS1, 5.8S rRNA gene
Rfam family: 5.8S ribosomal RNA (bases 171-219)
Source: RNAcentral